This 17-nucleotide transfer RNA is filed under the name Rhipicephalus appendiculatus. Its description in RNAcentral is "partial tRNA-Met". The record is from RNAcentral. Lineage: Eukaryota; Metazoa; Arthropoda; Arachnida; Ixodida; Ixodidae.
AGUAAGCUAAUUUCUAA